This 257-nucleotide ribosomal RNA is filed under the name uncultured bacterium. RNAcentral describes it as "partial 16S ribosomal RNA". It matches the Rfam family "Bacterial small subunit ribosomal RNA", at positions 524 to 776 of the family's 1533-position model. The record is from RNAcentral.
UACGUAGGGUGCGAGCGUUAAUCGGAAUUACUGGGCGUAAAGCGUGCGCAGGCGGUUAUGUAAGACAGUUGUGAAAUCCCCGGGCUCAACCUGGGGAAUUGCAUCUGUGACUGCAUAGCUAGAGUACGGUAGAGGGGGAUGGAAUUCCGCGUGUAGCAGUGAAAUGCGUAGAUAUGCGGAGGAACACCGAUGGCGAAGGCAAUCCCCCUGGACCUGUACUGACGCUCAUGCACGAAAGGCGUGGGGAAGCAAACAGG